GACGAACGCUGGCGGCGUGCUUAACACAUGCAAGUCGAACGGAAAGGCCCUGCUUUUGUGGGGUGCUCGAGUGGCGAACGGGUGAGUAACACGUGAGUAACCUGCCCUUGACUUUGGGAUAACUUCAGGAAACUGGGGCUAAUACCGGAUAGGAGCUCCUGCUGCAUGGUGGGGGUUGGAAAGUUUCGGCGGUUGGGGAUGGACUCGCGGCUUAUCAGCUUGUUGGUGGGGUAGUGGCUUACCAAGGCUUUGACGGGUAGCCGGCCUGAGAGGGUGACCGGCCACAUUGGGACUGAGAUACGGCCCAGACUCCUACGGGAGGCAGCAGUGGGGAAUAUUGCACAAUGGGCGGAAGCCUGAUGCAGCAACGCCGCGUUCGGGAUGACGGCCUUCGGUUUGUAAACCGCUUUCGCCUGUGACGAAGCGUGAGUGACGGUAAUGGGUAAAGAAGCACCGGCUAACUACGUG
RNAcentral lists this ribosomal RNA (468 nucleotides) under uncultured bacterium. RNAcentral describes it as "partial 16S ribosomal RNA". It matches the Rfam family "Bacterial small subunit ribosomal RNA", at positions 28 to 507 of the family's 1533-position model. The record is from RNAcentral.